RNAcentral lists this ribosomal RNA (507 nucleotides) under uncultured fungus. RNAcentral's name for it is "eukaryotic LSU rRNA". It matches the Rfam family "Eukaryotic large subunit ribosomal RNA", at positions 126 to 649 of the family's 3401-position model. Lineage: Eukaryota; Fungi. The record is from RNAcentral.
CUCUCUCAGAGUCCGAGUUGUAAUUUGUAGAGGAUGUUUCGGGCGCGGCGCAGGUCUAAGUCCCUUGGAACGGGGCGUCGUAGAGGGUGAGAAUCCCGUAUGUGACCUGUGACCAACUCCAUGUGAAGCUCCUUCGACGAGUCGAGUUGUUUGGGAAUGCAGCUCUAAAUGGGUGGUAAAUUUCAUCUAAAGCUAAAUACCGGCCAGAGACCGAUAGCGCACAAGUAGAGUGAUCGAAAGAUGAAAAGCACUUUGGAAAGAGAGUUAAAAAGUACGUGAAAUUGUUGAAAGGGAAGCGCUUGCAACCAGACCUGUCCGUGGGCGAUCAACGGCUGUUCUCAGCCGUGCACUCGCCCUGAUCAGGCCAGCAUCGGUUUGGGCGGCGGGAUAAAGGCGUCGGAAAUGUAGCUCCUCCCGGGGAGUCUUAUAGACCUUCGUGCAAUGCCGCCAGCCCAGACCGAGGACCGCGCUUCGGCUAGGAUGCUGGCAUAAUGGUUGUAAGCGACC